AUGCUUUGCUUGUAUGUUGAUGACAUACUAAUUUUCGGAACAAAUCUGAAUGUUAUUAAGGAGGUCAAGGAUUUCCUAUCUCGCUGUUUUGAGAUGAAGGAUUUAGGAGUGGCUGAUGUCAUUCUGAACAUCAAGUUGUUGAGAGAUGAUGAUGGUGGGGUUACAUUGCUUCAAUCUCACUAUGUGGAAAAGAUCUUGAGUCGCUUUGGCUAUAGUGAUUGCAAGCCCUCUCCAACACCAUAUGAUGCUAGCGUGCUGCUUCGAAAGAAUCGAAGAAUUGCUAGAGAUCAAUUGAAGUAUUCUCAGAUUAUUGGCUCGCUUAUGUACUUAGCCAGUGCUACAAGACCUGACAUCUCUUUUGCUGUUAGCAAACUGAGCCGGUUUGUUUCAAAACCAGGAGAUGUGCAUUGGAAAGCUCUAGAGAGAGUUUUGCGUUAUUUGAAAGGCACUGCGAAUUAUGGAAUUCACUACACUGGGCACCCAAAGGUGCUUGAAGGGUAUAGUGACUCAAACUGA
This 516-nucleotide ribosomal RNA is filed under the name Triticum aestivum (bread wheat). RNAcentral describes it as "partial small subunit ribosomal RNA". Lineage: Eukaryota; Viridiplantae; Streptophyta; Magnoliopsida; Poales; Poaceae. The record is from RNAcentral.